GACGAACGCUGGCGGCGUGCUUAACACAUGCAAGUCGAACGGUAAGGCCCUUCGGGGUACACGAGUGGCGAACGGGUGAGUAACACGUGGGUGAUCUGCCCUGCACUCCGGGAUAAGCCUGGGAAACUGGGUCUAAUACCGGAUAGGACUCCGGACUGCAUGGUCUGGGGUGGAAAGCUUUUGCGGUGUGGGAUGGGCCCGCGGCCUAUCAGCUUGUUGGUGGGGUGAUGGCCUACCAAGGCGACGACGGGUAGCCGGCCUGAGAGGGUGACCGGCCACACUGGGACUGAGAUACGGCACAGACUCCUACGGGAGGCAGGAGUGGGGAAUAUUGCCCAAUGGGCGCAAGCCUGAUGCAGCGACGCCGCGUGAGGGAUGACGGCCUUCGGGUUGUAAACCUCUUUCAGCAUCGACGAAGCGAAAGUGACGGUAGGUGCAGAAGAAGGACCGGCCAACUACGUGCCAGCCGCCGCCGUAA
This 478-nucleotide ribosomal RNA is filed under the name uncultured bacterium. RNAcentral describes it as "partial 16S ribosomal RNA". It matches the Rfam family "Bacterial small subunit ribosomal RNA", at positions 28 to 523 of the family's 1533-position model. The record is from RNAcentral.